RNAcentral lists this ribosomal RNA (196 nucleotides) under Pleione x confusa. RNAcentral's name for it is "5.8S ribosomal RNA". The stretch from base 38 to 193 matches the Rfam family "5.8S ribosomal RNA". Rfam says of the family: 5.8S ribosomal RNA (5.8S rRNA) is a component of the large subunit of the eukaryotic ribosome. It is transcribed by RNA polymerase I as part of the 45S precursor that also contains 18S and 28S rRNA. Lineage: Eukaryota; Viridiplantae; Streptophyta; Magnoliopsida; Asparagales; Orchidaceae. The record is from RNAcentral.
GGCAUGGAGUGCUGUCGCACGCCAUGUGGAUUAAAACGACUCUCGGCAAUGGAUAUCUCGGCUCUCGCAUCGAUGAAGAGCGCAGCGAAAUGCGAUACGUGGUGCGAAUUGCAGAAUCCCGCGAACCAUCGAGUCUUUGAACGCAAGUUGCGCCCGAGGCCAACCGGCCAAGGGCACGUCCGCCUGGGCGUCAAGC